UAUGAUUUGCAUGUUCAUCAAAUAUGUGAUAAAUUGCAUUCUUAAAUGGUGAUCUUAAUGAAGUGGUCUAUGUGGAACAACCAAAAUGAUAGAGAACAUAAAAGUAUACAAACUAGUUAGAGAAUUACAUGGUUUGAAAAAUGAACAUGAGAAAUUGCAUGAAAUGUUUGAUUGUACAUAGUUUCUGAUGUAUUAAUUCAUAAUACUCUAUAUA
RNAcentral lists this long non-coding RNA (214 nucleotides) under Olea europaea (common olive). Its description in RNAcentral is "long non-coding RNA (OEUR_LNC009055)". The record is from RNAcentral. Lineage: Eukaryota; Viridiplantae; Streptophyta; Magnoliopsida; Lamiales; Oleaceae.